UCCCCCAGUAGCGGCGAGCGAACGGGGAGGAGCCCAGAGCCUGAAUCAGUGUGUGUGUUAGUGGAAGCGUCUGGAAAGGCGCGCGAUACAGGGUGACAGCCCCGUACACAAAAAUGCACAUAUUGUGAGCUCGAUGAGUAGGGCGGGACACGUGGUAUCCUGUCUGAAUAUGGGGGGACCAUCCUCCAAGGCUAAAUACUCCUGACUGACCGAUAGUGAACCAGUACCGUGAGGGAAAGGCGAAAAGAACCCCGGCGAGGGGAGUGAAAAAGAACCUGAAACCGUGUACGUACAAGCAGUGGGAGCCUCUUUAUGGGGUGACUGCGUACCUUUUGUAUAAUGGGUCAGCGACUUAUAUUCUGUAGCAAGGUUAACCGAAUAGGGGAGCCGAAGGGAAACCGAGUCUUAACUGGGCGUUAAGUUGCAGGGUAUAGACCCGAAACCCGGUGAUCUAGCCAUGGGCAGGUUGAAGGUUGGGUAACACUAACUGGAGGACCGAACCGACUAAUGUUGAAAAAUUAGCGGAUGACUUGUGGCUGGGGGUGAAAGGCCAAUCAAACCGGGAGAUAGCUGGUUCUCCCCGAAAGCUAUUUAGGUAGCGCCUCGUGAAUUCAUCUCCGGGGGUAGAGCACUGUUUCGGCAAGGGGGUCAUCCCGACUUACCAACCCGAUGCAAACUGCGAAUACCGGAGAAUGUUAUCACGGGAGACACACGGCGGGUGCUAACGUCCGUCGUGAAGAGGGAAACAACCCAGACCGCCAGCUAAGGUCCCAAAGUCAUGGUUAAGUGGGAAACGAUGUGGGAAGGCCCAGACAGCCAGGAUGUUGGCUUAGAAGCAGCCAUCAUUUAAAGAAAGCGUAAUAGCUCACUGGUCGAGUCGGCCUGCGCGGAAGAUGUAACGGGGCUAAACCAUGCACCGAAGCUGCGGCAGCGACACUAUGUGUUGUUGGGUAGGGGAGCGUUCUGUAAGCCUGUGAAGGUGGCCUGUGAGGGUUGCUGGAGGUAUCAGAAGUGCGAAUGCUGACAUAAGUAACGAUAAAGCGGGUGAAAAGCCCGCUCGCCGGAAGACCAAGGGUUCCUGUCCAACGUUAAUCGGGGCAGGGUGAGUCGACCCCUAAGGCGAGGCCGAAAGGCGUAGUCGAUGGGAAACAGGUUAAUAUUCCUGUACUUGGUGUUACUGCGAAGGGGGGACGGAGAAGGCUAUGUUGGCCGGGCGACGGUUGUCCCGGUUUAAGCGUGUAGGCUGGUUUUCCAGGCAAAUCCGGAAAACCAAGGCUGAGGCGUGAUGACGAGGCACUACGGUGCUGAAGCGACAAAUGCCCUGCUUCCAGGAAAAGCCUCUAAGCAUCAGGUAACAUCAAAUCGUACCCCAAACCGACACAGGUGGUCAGGUAGAGAAUACCAAGGCGCUUGAGAGAACUCGGGUGAAGGAACUAGGCAAAAUGGUGCCGUAACUUCGGGAGAAGGCACGCUGAUAUGUAGGUGAAGCGACUUGCUCGUGGAGCUGAAAUCAGUCGAAGAUACCAGCUGGCUGCAACUGUUUAUUAAAAACACAGCACUGUGCAAACACGAAAGUGGACGUAUACGGUGUGACGCCUGCCCGGUGCCGGAAGGUUAAUUGAUGGGGUUAGCGGUAACGCGAAGCUCUUGAUCGAAGCCCCGGUAAACGGCGGCCGUAACUAUAACGGUCCUAAGGUAGCGAAAUUCCUUGUCGGGUAAGUUCCGACCUGCACGAAUGGCGUAAUGAUGGCCAGGCUGUCUCCACCCGAGACUCAGUGAAAUUGAACUCGCUGUGAAGAUGCAGUGUACCCGCGGCAAGACGGAAAGACCCCGUGAACCUUUACUAUAGCUUGACACUGAACAUUGAGCCUUGAUGUGUAGGAUAGGUGGGAGGCUUUGAAGUGUGGACGCCAGUCUGCAUGGAGCCGACCUUGAAAUACCACCCUUUAAUGUUUGAUGUUCUAACGUUGGCCCGUAAUCCGGGUUGCGGACAGUGUCUGGUGGGUAGUUUGACUGGGGCGGUCUCCUCCUAAAGAGUAACGGAGGAGCACGAAGGUUGGCUAAUCCUGGUCGGACAUCAGGAGGUUAGUGCAAUGGCAUAAGCCAGCUUGACUGCGAGCGUGACGGCGCGAGCAGGUGCGAAAGCAGGUCAUAGUGAUCCGGUGGUUCUGAAUGGAAGGGCCAUCGCUCAACGGAUAAAAGGUACUCCGGGGAUAACAGGCUGAUACCGCCCAAGAGUUCAUAUCGACGGCGGUGUUUGGCACCUCGAUGUCGGCUCAUCACAUCCUGGGGCUGAAGUAGGUCCCAAGGGUAUGGCUGUUCGCCAUUUAAAGUGGUACGCGAGCUGGGUUUAGAACGUCGUGAGACAGUUCGGUCCCUAUCUGCCGUGGGCGCUGGAGAACUGAGGGGGGCUGCUCCUAGUACGAGAGGACCGGAGUGGACGCAUCACUGGUGUUCGGGUUGUCAUGCCAAUGGCACUGCCCGGUAGCUAAAUGCGGAAGAGAUAAGUGCUGAAAGCAUCUAAGCACGAAACUUGCCCCGAGAUGAGUUCUCCCUGAGACUUAGAGUCUCCUGAAGGAACGUUGAAGACGACGACGUUGAUAGGCCGGGUGUGUAAGCGCAGCGAUGCGUUGAGCUAACCGGUACUAAUGAACCGUGAGGCUUAACCUUACAACGCCGAAG
This 2682-nucleotide ribosomal RNA is filed under the name Escherichia coli. RNAcentral describes it as "partial 23S ribosomal RNA". It matches the Rfam family "Bacterial large subunit ribosomal RNA". The record is from RNAcentral. Lineage: Bacteria; Pseudomonadati; Pseudomonadota; Gammaproteobacteria; Enterobacterales; Enterobacteriaceae.